This 22-nucleotide microRNA is filed under the name Monodelphis domestica (gray short-tailed opossum). RNAcentral's name for it is "mdo-miR-1545f-5p". The record is from miRBase by way of RNAcentral. Lineage: Eukaryota; Metazoa; Chordata; Mammalia; Didelphimorphia; Didelphidae.
UGUGUCCUGGGAUAGAUAAGUG